GGCCUGUAGAUCUGACUUCAAAACGCUGACACGCCUCUUACUUUUCAAUACCAUUCGCAUAGUCUAAAGAUAACAGGGAGGCAUAAUACUUAAUUCAAUCUGGUCAUUUUAUUUUUGCCUAACUCUCCCCCAAAUUGCCAAGAUUUUUGUUGUGGGGGAGAAAGAAACAUUGAUGUGGAUAUUACCCAUUAAAAAUGAAUCUUAAACAAGAAUGAAAAGGUUAAAAUUGCACACAUUCUGGAACUGCCCUUCUGGAAGGAGAAAGAACGCAUCUCUAGGAAGAUGCGUUCAGGGCUGUCUGGCACUGCUGCUGCUGCUUCUCUGCACCACAAUCGCCCCACGCCCAAAUGACUCUAGCGAGGGAUCCCGGGGAUUGAGCCUCUGCAAGGAAGGUGUAGGUAGAGCCUGCACCGAUCCUGAGGGAGCGGCUGCGGGAUUCGGAAGCUGGCUGUCCCUUCCUCGUGGGAGCCUUGGCCAUGAGGAAUUUGGGCUCUUGGGGCGUGAAGUAACUUUCCUGAGGGGCAGUAAGUGGGAAGAUAAGGCUCAGAGCAGGGGCAGGCUUCAGAACCCAUGCUUACUGCUCUGGUUGUGUUGAGAGGAAGAGCACACUGCCAGGUCAUUUCCAGACUGACCGAGUCAGGACUGUGAGAGCCCUGGAGAACAGGACUGGCUGUGACUGACAGUGGGACACAACCCCGCUGAGCUCAGAGGACUUGAGAGAGGACUCCUGGUAGCCCACGAGCCGGGUGCCAGCAUCAUAGAAUCUUUUCUUCAGCCCUUCUCAACCUUUCUCUAAAUCACCCCAGGAUUGAAAAGGUCAGAGCUGAAGUAACUGGUGGCCUGGCCACACUGAGUCCACAGGGCCCCACACACGGGUGAAGGGUGUGUCUGUCUGUCUGUCAUAGGCUCUGCUAUGACGCCCUGUUACCUCUGACACUGGCACCUCUGUGUGGGGCCUCCCUCUGGCAUCUUUUAAUUUUAUUUUUUUAUUUUUUUGAGAUGGAGUCUCGUUUUGUUGUUCAGGCUGGAGUACAGUGGCACAAUCUUAGCUCACUGCAACUUCCACUUCCCAGGUUCAAGAGAUUCUCCUGCCUGUCUCCUGAGUAGCUGGGACUCCAGGCACACACCACCAUGCCCAGCUAGUUUUUGUAUUUUUUUUUUUUUGAUAGAGACAGGGUUUUGCCAUGUUGGCCAGGCUGGUCUCGAACUCCUGACAUCAAGUAAUCUGCCUGCCUCGGACUUCCAAAGUGCCGCGAUUACAGGUACGAGCCCCCCACGCCUGGCCAUCGGGCAUCUUUUAAGUGUUGACCUGCCUUCCCUCCUGCCCUGAGAGAGCCAGGAGAUUGGAGCCUUCCUGAGGAUGGGUGGAAAGGGGGCAGGCUUCUAGCUUUGAGUCACGGGGGCCCACCUGGACUCCUCUGCCAAUGGCCAGGCAAGGCCACCCUGCCUGCCCUCUGCCCUCCAGAUGGACAGAGCAACCACUCACUCUUAACAGGGACUUAGAGCUUUCACCUCUUUUCAGGAAACUGCUUUGUUCCCUCCUAUCUGCUUGGCUGAAGCCUACCUUAGCCAUGUUGGAAAGGUACGUCUUUCUUCUUAGUCUUUUGACAAAUAGAGUAACUUCUGUUAAGAACAACACACGUGGCCAUUAAUACAAUAACUUCAAGUUCUCAUGUGGGCAGUGGGGAAGAGAAGGUGCAUGUUUGGGGUAGGAAGGCACAGCUGGCUAAACUGCAACUUCCCCCACCCCCGUGUCUGCUGGCCCUCUCUGAGUGGCUAGAAGAUCCUGGCAGGGGACGCUUGGCUGAAAUGUCCUCAUGUGCCAGAAAAAUUAAGUAACCCCAGCAUCUGACAUGCGUGCUACUAUGAUCUGAAUGUGUCCCACACCCCAAAUUUCAUAUGUUGAACCUCACCCCCAUUGUGAUGGUGUUAGGAAGUGGGGCCUUGGGGAGGUGAUGAGGCCCCGAGUGUACAGUUCCCAUGAAGAGGAUUAGAGGCCCCAGAGAGACCCCUUGCCUCUUUCACCAUGUGAAGACAAAGCAAAAAGACAGCCAUCUGUGAACUAGUAAGCAGACCUUCCCCAGACACCCAUCUGCUGGUGCCUUGAUCUUGGACUUCCCAGCCUCCAGAACUAUAAGCAAUAAAUUUCAGUUGUUUAUAUACUGCCACCUAGUUGGUGGCAUUUUACUACAGCAGCCAGAUUGGACUAAGACCAGUACUCAAAGGAACAACCCCAACUUUCUCAUCCUACACUGCUUUCCUUGGAAAAUAAUCAAAGGAAAGGAAAGGAUGAAAAGGGAACGCAUAGAAACAGGUGUUCUCCUCUUGAACGCAUUCAUUCAUUUGACAAAUAUAUGGGAGAACACUCGUGCAGUGUUUGCUCAAUAACUAUUUGCUGGAUGGCUGCUGAGCUGAUGGACGGAAGAGGACAGCCCUUCCCUACAAAGGGCUCAUGCUCCAGAGGGUGGGUCACCAGAUAUGCAAACACAUCCCAAAAGCAGGCUAAGUGCUCCCAUGCGAUGUGCGAGCACAAGGAAGAAAGGGAGGCUGUCUGGAAGAAGGUAUUGAGGAAAGCUUCACUGCGAAGGUGACAUUUAAUCUGGGCUUUGACGCAUAGGUAGGAGAUAGCCAGGAGUAAUGGGGCAGGAGGCAGUCCAAGCAUAGAAAAUGGCAGGAAUAAGGGCCUUUUCUGGGGACAGCCUGUCUAGUGUUGCUGAAGAGCACUGUUGGGUCAUGGGAGUCCCUUGGGAGAUGGAGACAGGGAUGGGGCCAGAGGCCAAACUGUGAAUGACUGCACAGCAGUGGAGGAGAGUGGGCCAUCUGGGCAGUGGAGGCCAGGGAAGGUUGGUAAUUGAUUAAUUGCUGCUUUAGAAUGAUCACUGGGGGUGGAGGGAGUGUGGCUGGGGAGGGGGGUGGAAGAAGGAUGACCAACUAGGAAACCGCUGAAGUAGCCUACAGAAUGAAGAGACAGAGGCUUGAAUUCGGGCAGAUGUUAAAGGAGCACAGGAAAACUGGAGGGAGGCUCUGCUCCCCACUCCUUGGACCGCUUUUGCAGCAAGUCCCAGUCUCACCUUCUGCAACGUCCCUAAAAUUUCCAAGUGGGACAAACUGGAUCAGGGUACCCAGUGUUAGUAGUGAACACAGCUGGGGGCGUGGGGUCGGGAGGAGUGGCGAUUAGACAUGGUCCUAUGCUGUAGGCACUUUGAGAAGUCCCCUAUCUGCACUACCUAGGAGAUAAUUGCAAAGGAAGCAAGACUCAUAGAAAUGUGGGGAAAUAACUGGUGCCAGCUUGGUGACAAAAUGACCCUGACCUGGCAAGGAGGGUGGGACCCCGUAGGGAGUUCGAGAGCUGCAGGCAAUGAUAGCAAAACUUCACAAAGGCAAGAGGGAGAAAAUGGGUAUUUCCAGGAUGAUCCGACAGGGCAUGGCAGGUGCAGGCUGGCCUUUGAAGGAGCAUGGAGCUGCAGGGACACAAAGAGGAUAGAUUUAUAGGGAACUGGACCAGCUGACAGAGCAGUUCAGGCUCGCGCUUGGAAGCCACUGCAGGCCUUGAACAGAUAAAUAGCCUGGUGGAAGCAGCAUUCAGAGACUGCUGCCUGGCAGCCAGACAGAAGGGGAAAGCAUUCUAGAAACUCAGCAGAGAGAUGGUGCAAUUCAGGUGUGAGAAUGCCCUGGUGAAUAUCCACACCUAGAACACCUUGACCUGCCAAAAGUCCAUGUUAUUAUUCAAAAGAGAAAUAGCUUAAAAGGGUGUGGCUGGAUCAGCACAAAAAUCCAUCACCAGCACUAAAAGCCAGAAACCCUGAGCAGGCUGGGCCUUCCGGACUGUAGCUGAGUGCAUGGGGCAGCAGCUGAAAGCUACCACCCAGGGUGAAAGUCAGAUGCUUCAUCUACGCUUACAGAAUUUAUUUAUUUAUGUAUUUCUUUACUUUAAAAACAGGGUCUUGCUCCAUCACCCAGGCUGGAGUGCAGUGACAUGAUCAUGGCUCACUGUAGCCUUGACCUCCUGGGCUCAAGUGAUCUUCCCGCCUCAGCCUUCUGAGUAGCUAAGACCACAGGUGUGUGCCACCACACUCAGCUAAUUUUUAAAACUUUUUUGUGAGACAGGAUCUCACUAUGUUGCCCGGGCUGGUCUCAAACUCCUGGCCUCAAGCGAUCCUCCUGCCUCGGCCUUCCAAAGUGCUGGGAUUACAGGCAUGAGCCACUGUGCCAGCCCAGAAUUUAUUUUUUUCAUCGAAACCUACCUUUGAGUUUGGAGAUCUGCAAGAGGGCUGGAA
This 4277-nucleotide long non-coding RNA is filed under the name Homo sapiens (human). RNAcentral describes it as "HSALNT0036565". Lineage: Eukaryota; Metazoa; Chordata; Mammalia; Primates; Hominidae. The record is from RNAcentral.